RNAcentral lists this transfer RNA (67 nucleotides) under Glyphodes quadrimaculalis. RNAcentral's name for it is "tRNA-His". The record is from RNAcentral. Lineage: Eukaryota; Metazoa; Arthropoda; Insecta; Lepidoptera; Crambidae.
AUUUAAAUAAUUUAAAUAAAAUAUUGAUUUGUGGUAUCAAAAAUAUGAUUAAAUAUCAUUUUAAGUU